RNAcentral lists this ribosomal RNA (492 nucleotides) under uncultured bacterium. Its description in RNAcentral is "partial 16S ribosomal RNA". It matches the Rfam family "Bacterial small subunit ribosomal RNA", at positions 29 to 507 of the family's 1533-position model. The record is from RNAcentral.
AGUGAACGCUGGCGGUAGGCCUAACACAUGCCAGUCGAACGGCAGCACAGUAAGUGCUUGCUCUUACGGGUGGCGAGUGGCGGACGGGUGAGGAAUACAUCGGAAUCUACUUUUUCGUGGGGGAUAACGUAGGGAAACUUACGCUAAUACCGCAUACGACCUACGGUUGAAAGCAGUUGAUCUUCUGACCUUGCGCGAUUGAAUGAGCCGAUGUCGGAUUAGCUAGUUGGCUGGGUAAAGGCCCACCAAGGCGACGAUCCGUAGAUGGUCUGAGAGGAUGAUCAGCAACACUGGAACUGAGACACGGACCAGACACCUACGGGAGGAAGCAGUGGGGAAUAUUGGACAAUGGGCGCAAGCCUGAUCCAGCCAUACCGCGUGGGUGAAGAAGGACUUCGGGUUGUAAAGCCCUUUUGUUGGGAAAGAAAAGCAGCAGGUUAAUACCCCGCUGUUCUGACGGUACCCAAAGAAUAAGCACCGGCUAACUUCGUG